CGCCCGGGCUUCGGCCUGGUUAUUCAUAACCCUUUGUUGUCCGACUCUGUUGCCUCCGGGGCGACCCUGCCUUCGGGCGGGGGCUCCGGGUGGACACUUCAAACUCUUGCGUAACUUUGCAGUCUGAGUAAACUUAAUUAAUAAAUUAAAACUUUUAACAACGGAUCUCUUGGUUCUGGCAUCGAUGAACAACGCAGCGAAAUGCGAUAAGUAAUGUGAAUUGCAGAAUUCAGUGAAUCAUCGAAUCUUUGAACGCACAUUGCGCCCCCUGGUAUUCCGGGGGGCAUGCCUGUUCGAGCGUCAUUUCACCACUCAAGCCUCGCUUGGUAUUGGGCAACGCGGUCCGCCGCGUGCCUCAAAUCGUCCGGCUGGGUCUUCUGUCCCCUAAGCGUUGUGGAAACUAUUCGCUAAAGGGUGUUCGGGAGGCUACGCCGUAAAACAAACCCCAUUUCUAAGGUUGACCUCGGAUCACGUAGGGA
RNAcentral lists this ribosomal RNA (479 nucleotides) under uncultured fungus. RNAcentral's name for it is "eukaryotic LSU rRNA". The stretch from base 150 to 303 matches the Rfam family "5.8S ribosomal RNA". Lineage: Eukaryota; Fungi. The record is from RNAcentral.